This 797-nucleotide ribosomal RNA is filed under the name Enterocloster bolteae. RNAcentral describes it as "bacterial LSU rRNA". It matches the Rfam family "Bacterial large subunit ribosomal RNA", at positions 1117 to 1935 of the family's 2925-position model. Lineage: Bacteria; Bacillati; Bacillota; Clostridia; Lachnospirales; Lachnospiraceae. The record is from RNAcentral.
CCACACAUUCAAAGAGUGCGUAAUAGCUCACUAGUCGAGAGGUCCUGCGCCGAAAAUGUCCGGGGCUGAAACACAACACCGAAGCUUAGGAAUGUAUGUAAGUACAUUGGUAGAGGAGCAUUCUUAGUGCGGAGAAGCGGUACCGAUAAGGAGCCGUGGAGCGUUAAGAAGAGAGAAUGCCGGAAUGAGUAGCGAGAUGGAGGUGGGAAUCCUCCAGGCCGAAUAUCCAAGGUUUCCAGAGUAAAGCUGAUCUGCUCUGGGUAAGUCGGGGCCUAAGGCGAGGCUGAGAGGCGUAGUCGAUGGACAACAGGUUGAAAUUCCUGUACCAUGUAUCAUCAGAACUGUGGGGACACAGAAGGACAACACAUCCCGGGAAUGGGAAUACCGGGGCAAGCGAGGKAGGAGUMCGGUUGGCAAAYCCGCCKKGCAAUCCRAAGACGUGAYGCGCAGCGAACUAAAGUAGCGAAGUGUGUGAUUCCGGCUGUCAAGAAAAGCCGCUAUUGUGUGAUACAUGCCCGUACCGUAAACCGACACAGGUAGAUGAGGAGAGAAUCCUAAGGCCGGCGGGAGAAGCAUUGUUAAGGAACUCGGCAAAAUGACCCCGUAACUUCGGGAGAAGGGGUGCCACAGAGAUGUGGCCGCAGAGAAUAGGCUCAAGCAACUGUUUAGCAAAAACACAGGUCUAUGCAAAACCGUAAGGUGAGGUAUAUGGGCUGACGCCUGCCCGGUGCUGGAAGGUUAAGAGGAGAGGUUAGCGCAAGCGAAGCUUUGAAUUUAAGCCCCAGUAAACGGCGGCC